This 433-nucleotide ribosomal RNA is filed under the name uncultured bacterium. Its description in RNAcentral is "partial 16S ribosomal RNA". It matches the Rfam family "Bacterial small subunit ribosomal RNA", at positions 29 to 507 of the family's 1533-position model. The record is from RNAcentral.
AACGAACGCUGGCGGCAUGCCUAACACAUGCAAGUCGAACGAGACCUUCGGGUCUAGUGGCGCACGGGUGCGUAACGCGUGGGAACCUGCCCUUAUGCUCGGAAUAAUUCCCCUUCAGGGGUGCUAAUAUCGGAUAAUGUCUUCUGACCAAAGAUUUAUCGCCCUUGGAUGGGCCGGCGUUGGUUUAGCUAGUUGGUAGGGUAAAAGCCUACCACGGCGACGAUCCAUAGCUGGUCUGAGAGGAUGAUCAGCCACACUGGGACUGAGACACGGCCCAGACUACUACGGGAGGCAGCAGUGGGGAAUAUUGGACAAUGGGCGGAAGCCUGAUCCAGCAAUGCCGGGUGAGUGAUGAAGGCCUUAGGGUAGUAAAGCUCUUUUACCCGGGAUGAUAAUGACAGUACCGGGAGAAUAAGCUCCGGCUAACUCCGUG